Molecule: ribosomal RNA, 459 nt
Filed under: uncultured bacterium
Lineage: Bacteria
Description: partial 16S ribosomal RNA
Rfam family: Bacterial small subunit ribosomal RNA
Source: RNAcentral
CCUACGGGUGGCUGCAGUGAGGAAUAUUGGUCAAUGGCCGAGAGGCUGAACCAGCCAAGUCGCGUGAGGGAAGACGGCCCUACGGGUUGUAAACCUCUUUUGUCGGGGAGCAAAGCGAGUCACGUGUGACUCAUUGCGAGUACCCGAAGAAAAAGCAUCGGCUAACUCCGUGCCAGCAGCCGCGGUAAUACGGAGGAUGCGAGCGUUAUCCGGUUUUAUUGGGUUUAAAGGGUGCGCAGGCGGGGGUGCAAGUCAGCGGUCAAAUUGCGGGGCUCAACCCCGUACUGCCGUUGAAACUGCAGCCCUUGAGUGCGCGAGAAGUAUGCGGAAUGCGUGGUGUAGCGGUGAAAUGCAUAGAUAUCACGCAGAACUCCGAUUGCGAAGGCAGCAUACCGGCGCCCGACUGACGCUGAGGCACGAAAGCGUGGGGAUCGAACAGGAUUAGAUACCCUUGUAGUC